Molecule: ribosomal RNA, 253 nt
Filed under: uncultured Methylocaldum sp.
Lineage: Bacteria; Pseudomonadati; Pseudomonadota; Gammaproteobacteria; Methylococcales; Methylococcaceae
Description: partial 16S ribosomal RNA
Rfam family: Bacterial small subunit ribosomal RNA
Source: RNAcentral
UACGGAGGGUGCGAGCGUUAAUCGGAAUUACUGGGCGUAAAGCGCGCGUAGGUGGUUUGAAAAGUCUGAUGUGAAAGCCCUGGGCUUAACCUGGGAAUGGCAUUGGAUACUGUCUGACUGGAGUGUGGGAGAGGGGUGUGGAAUUUCCGGUGUAGCAGUGAAAUGCGUAGAGAUCGGAAGGAACACCAGUGGCGAAGGCGGCACCCUGGACCAACACUGACGCUGAGGUGCGAAAGCGUGGGGAGCAAACAGG